This 69-nucleotide transfer RNA is filed under the name Deroplatys desiccata. Its description in RNAcentral is "tRNA-Leu". The record is from RNAcentral. Lineage: Eukaryota; Metazoa; Arthropoda; Insecta; Mantodea; Mantidae.
ACUAUUUUGGCAGAAGGAGAGUGCAACAAAUUUAGAAUUUGUGAAUAUGAUGAUAAAUCGUAGGUAGUA